GGGCCCUUAGCUCAGCUCGGUAGAGUGCGCCCUUGGCUAGGGUGAGGCCGCGGGUUCGAAUCCCGCAGGGUCCA
RNAcentral lists this transfer RNA (74 nucleotides) under Candidatus Woesearchaeota archaeon. RNAcentral's name for it is "tRNA-Ala". It matches the Rfam family "tRNA". Rfam says of the family: Transfer RNA (tRNA) molecules are approximately 80 nucleotides in length. Their secondary structure includes four short double-helical elements and three loops (D, anti-codon, and T loops). Lineage: Archaea; Nanobdellati; Candidatus Woesearchaeota. The record is from RNAcentral.